This 245-nucleotide ribosomal RNA is filed under the name uncultured bacterium. RNAcentral's name for it is "partial 16S ribosomal RNA". It matches the Rfam family "Bacterial small subunit ribosomal RNA", at positions 88 to 334 of the family's 1533-position model. The record is from RNAcentral.
UAGGCGACCGGCGCACGGUGCGUAACGCGUAUGCAACCUACCUUUAACAGGGGGAGUAACACUGAGAAAUUGGUACUAAUACCCCAUAAUAUCAUAGAAGGCAUCUUUUAUGGUUGAAAAUUCCGAUGGUUAGAGAUGGGCAUGCGUUGUAUUAGCUAGUUGGUGGGGUAACGGCUCACCAAGGCGACGAUACAUAGGGGGACUGAGAGGUUAACCCCCCACACUGGUACUGAGACACGGACCAG